Molecule: ribosomal RNA, 497 nt
Filed under: uncultured bacterium
Lineage: Bacteria
Description: partial 16S ribosomal RNA
Rfam family: Bacterial small subunit ribosomal RNA
Source: RNAcentral
GAUGAACGCUGGCGGCGUGCCUAAUACAUGCAAGUCGAGCGAACAGAUGAGGAGCUUGCUCCUCUGACGUUAGCGGCGGACGGGUGAGUAACACGUGGAUAACCUACCUAUAAGACUGGGAUAACUUCGGGAAACCGGAGCUAAUACCGGAUAAUAUAUUGAACCGCAUGGUUCAAUAGUGAAAGACGGUUUUGCUGUCACUUAUAGAUGGAUCCGCGCCGCAUUAGCUAGUUGGUAAGGUAACGGCUUACCAAGGCAACGAUGCGUAGCCGACCUGAGAGGGUGAUCGGCCAAACUGGAACUGAGACACGGUCCAGACUCCUACGGGAGGCAGCAGUAGGGAAUCUUCCGCAAUGGGCGAAAGCCUGACGGAGCAACGCCGCGUGAGUGAUGAAGGUCUUCGGAUCGUAAAACUCUGUUAUUAGGGAAGAAAAAAUGUGUAAGUAACUAUGCACGUCUUGACGGUACCUAAUCAGAAAGCCACGGCUAACUACGUG